CCCCUUUGUAUCGGGUUAGGUGGGAACAAGUUGUCCCCACCCGGGGGUGGAACAACUUGUUCCACCCCCCGGUAUAAGAGAGAGAGAGAGAGCGAGAGAGAUUUUUAUUUUAAAUUUAAAUUUCUAAAAUUUAUAAUUUUAAAAUUUAAAUUUUAAAUUUUAAAUUUUAAAUAUGAUAUUUUUAGUUUUUAAAUUUUAAAUUUGAUAUUUUAUAUCUUUCAAAUUUAAAUUUAGUCUUAAAUUUAAAAUUUGAUAUUUAAAAUUAAAAUUUUGAAAAUUACAAUUUUAAAUUUAAUUUCAAAAUUUAAAAUUUAAAAGUUAAAAUUUUCAAUUUAAGAUUAUAAGUUUAAAAAUUUAAAUUCAAUUAUAGGGGUAAUAUCAUUGUUUUAUAAUUAUAACUACCAACUAUUCCACCUUAUACUCACAUUUUCAUCCAAACACAAUUUUUCUAAUUCCAGCUUAUACUCACAUUUUCAUUCAAACAAAAAAAAAUACGCUUAUUCCUACGAAAACCUAUACUUGUACCUAUCCCCGGUAUAACUAGUUCUUGCUUAUACCCGAACCAAAUGAAGCCAUAAAGUCUAGGGUAU
RNAcentral lists this long non-coding RNA (590 nucleotides) under Ananas comosus (pineapple). RNAcentral describes it as "long non-coding RNA (ACOM_LNC035011)". The record is from RNAcentral. Lineage: Eukaryota; Viridiplantae; Streptophyta; Magnoliopsida; Poales; Bromeliaceae.